RNAcentral lists this ribosomal RNA (253 nucleotides) under uncultured bacterium. Its description in RNAcentral is "partial 16S ribosomal RNA". It matches the Rfam family "Bacterial small subunit ribosomal RNA", at positions 524 to 776 of the family's 1533-position model. The record is from RNAcentral.
UACAGAGGUCUCAAGCGUUGUUCGGAUUCAUUGGGCGUAAAGGGUGCGUAGGUGGCGCGCUAAGUCAGGUGUGAAAUUUCGGAGCUUAACUCCGAAACUGCAUUUGAUACUGGCGUGCUUGAGGACUGGAGAGGAGACUGGAAUUCAUGGUGUAGCAGUGAAAUGCGCAGAUAUCAGGAGGAACACCGGUGGCGAAGGCGGGUCUCUGGGCCGAUACUGACGCUGAGGAGCGAAAGCGUGGGGAGCAAACAGG